Molecule: long non-coding RNA, 321 nt
Filed under: Lathyrus oleraceus (garden pea)
Lineage: Eukaryota; Viridiplantae; Streptophyta; Magnoliopsida; Fabales; Fabaceae
Description: Pisum sativum (pea) long non-coding RNA (PSAT_LNC008558)
Source: RNAcentral
AGGAAACACUCAGAGUAAACCUGGGAAAAGACAUGGUCUCGCGACCAGAGAGAAUGGGAUCGGGAGUCGGUUAUGCGAAGGGAAGGUAUUAGCACCCCUACGCAUCCGUCGUACUCGACGGGAUCCACGCACAAUAGGAAGGAAAAAUGGUUGCUAAAAACACUGCUCACACACACACAACUGGCUGAAAGAGACACAAGAAAACAAAAGAGACUGACUCGGCAGAAUAUCGCAUCCUGGGCCUACUUAGUCUAUCAGGCAUAGACAUCAGAGUCAAAGUAGUUCGGACUGGGGAAACGACACAUGCUCGCUAGGAUAUCG